RNAcentral lists this microRNA precursor (78 nucleotides) under Schistosoma mansoni. Its description in RNAcentral is "mir-3492 microRNA precursor family". It matches the Rfam family "mir-3492 microRNA precursor family". The record is from Rfam by way of RNAcentral. Lineage: Eukaryota; Metazoa; Platyhelminthes; Trematoda; Strigeidida; Schistosomatidae.
AGCCUUCUGUAUCCCUGCUGAGAUUUCGUCACAAACUAGACCACAAGGGCUUUUGAGGCUGCCAAGAUAAGUGAAUCG